CCUACGGGAGGCAGCAGUAAGGAAUAUUGGUCAAUGGACGAAAGUCUGAACCAGCCAUGCCGCGUGAAGGAUUAAGGCCCUCUGGGUUGUAAACUUCUUUUAUCUGGGACGAAAAAAAGGGUAUUCUUACUCACUUGACGGUACCAGAGGAAUAAGCACCGGCUAACUCCGUGCCAGCAGCCGCGGUAAUACGGAGGGUGCAAGCGUUAUCCGGAUUUACUGGGUUUAAAGGGUGCGUAGGUGGGCUUGUAAGUCAGUGGUGAAAUCUCCGGGCUUAACCCGGAAACUGCCAUUGAUACUAUAGGUCUUGAAUUAUCUGGAGGUAAGCGGAAUAUGUCAUGUAGCGGUGAAAUGCUUAGAUAUGACAUAGAACACCAAUUGCGAAGGCAGCUUACUACGGAUAUAUUGACACUGAGGUACGAAAGCGUGGGGAUCAAACAGGAUUAGAUACCCUGGUAGUCCACGCCCUAAACGAUGGAUACUCGACAUCAGCGAUACACUGUUGGUGUCUGAGCGAAAGCAUUAAGUAUCCCACCUGGGAAAUACGAUCGCAAGAUUGAAACUCAAAGGAAUUAGACGG
RNAcentral lists this ribosomal RNA (580 nucleotides) under uncultured bacterium. Its description in RNAcentral is "bacterial SSU rRNA". It matches the Rfam family "Bacterial small subunit ribosomal RNA", at positions 338 to 917 of the family's 1533-position model. The record is from RNAcentral.